This 274-nucleotide ribosomal RNA is filed under the name uncultured bacterium. RNAcentral describes it as "partial 16S ribosomal RNA". It matches the Rfam family "Bacterial small subunit ribosomal RNA", at positions 523 to 796 of the family's 1533-position model. The record is from RNAcentral.
AUACGGAGGGGACAAGCGUUAUUCGGAAUCACUGGGCGUAAAGGACGCGUAGGCGGGUUAUUAAGUCGGGUGUGAAAUCCAAUGGCUCAACCAUCGAACUGCAUUCGAAACUGAUAACCUAGAGUAUGGAAGGGGCAGGUGGAAUUAGUGGUGUAGGGGUAAAAUCCGUAGAUAUCACUAGGAAUACCGAAAGCGAAGGCGACCUGCUGGGACAUUACUGACGCUGAGGCGUGAAAGCGUGGGGAGCAAACAGGAUUAGAUACCCCAGUAGUCC